ACGAUGAAGAGUUUGAUCCUGGCUCAGGAUGAACGCUAGCGGGAGGCCUAACACAUGCAAGCCGAGCGGUAUUUGUCCUUCGGGACAGAGAGAGCGGCGUACGGGUGCGGAACACGUGUGCAACCUACCUUUAUCAGGGGGAUAGCCUUUCGAAAGGAAGAUUAAUACCCCAUAAUAUAAACCAAGGCAUCUUGAUUUAUUGAAAACUCCGGUGGAUAGAGAUGGGCACGCGCAAGAUUAGAUAGUUGGUAGGGUAACGGCCUACCAAGUCAGUGAUCUUUAGGGGGCCUGAGAGGGUGAUCCCCCACACUGGUACUGAGACACGGACCAGACUCCUACGGGAGGCAGCAGUAAGGAAUAUUGGUCAAUGGGGGCAACCCUGAACCAGCCAUGCCGCGUGCAGGAUGACUGCCCUAUGGGUUGUAAACUGCUUUUGUCAGGGAAUAAACCUUUCCACGUGUGGAAAGCUGAAUGUACCUGAAGAAUAAGGAUCGGCUAACUCCGUGCCAGCAGCCGCGGUAAUACGGAGGAUCCAAGCGUUAUCCGGAUUUAUUGGGUUUAAAGGGUGCGUAGGCGGCCCUAUAAGUCAGUGGUGAAAGACGGCAGCUUAACUGUCGCAGUGCCUUUGAUACUGUAGGACUUGAAUCUAUUUGAAGUGGGCGGAAUAAGACAAGUAGCGGUGAAAUGCAUAGAUAUGUCUUAGAACACCGAUUGCGAAGGCAGCUCACUAAGUUAUUAUUGACGCUGAUGCACGAAAGCGUGGGGAUCGAACAGGAUUAGAUACCCUGGUAGUCCACGCCCUAAACGAUGAUAACUCGAUGUUUGCGAUACACAGUAAGCGUCCAAGCGAAAGCGUUAAGUUAUCCACCUGGGGAGUACGGUCGCAAGAUUGAAACUCAAAGGAAUUGACGGGGGCCCGCACAAGGCAGCUUACUAUGGUCUUAUUGACGCUGAGGCACGAAAGCGUGGGGAGCGAACAGGAUUAGAUACCCUGGUAGUCCACGCCGUAAACGAUGCUAACUCGUUUUUGGGCUUUCGGGUUCAGAGACUAAGCGAAAGUGAUAAGUUAGCCACCUGGGGAGUACGUUCGCAAGAAUGAAACUCAAAGGAAUUGACGGGGGCCCGCACAUUACUAUGGUCUUAUUGACGCUGAGGCACGAAAGCGUGGGGAUCAAACAGGAUUAGAUACCCUGGUAGUCCACGCCCUAAACGAUGAAUACUCGCUGUUAGCGAUAUACAGUUAGCGGCUAAGCGAAAGCGUUAAGUAUUCCACCUGGGGAGUACGGCCGCAAGGGUGAAACUCAAAGGAAUUGACGGGGGCCCGCACAAGCGGAGGAGCAUGUGGUUUAAUUCGAUGAUACGCGAGGAACCUUACCCGGGCUUGAAAGUUAGUGAAGGUCGCAGAGACGCGACCGUCCUUCGGGACACGAAACUAGGUGCUGCAUGGCUGUCGUCAGCUCGUGCCGUGAGGUGUUGGGUUAAGUCCCGCAACGAGCGCAACCCCUAUGUUUAGUUGCCAGCACGUCAAGGUGGGGACUCUAAACAGACUGCCUGCGCAAGCAGAGAGGAAGGUGGGGACGACGUCAAGUCAUCAUGGCCCUUACGUCCGGGGCUACACACGUGCUACAAUGGAUGGUACAGCGGGCAGCUACAUAGCAAUAUGAUGCCAAUCUCUAAAAGCCGUUCACAGUUCGGAUCGGGGUCUGCAACUCGACCCCGUGAAGUUGGAUUCGCUAGUAAUCGCGUAUCAGCAAUGACGCGGUGAAUACGUUCCCGGGCCUUGUACACACCGCCCGUCAAGCCAUGGAAGCUGGGGGUACCUAAAGCAUGUAACCGCAAGGAGCGUGUUAGGGUAAAACCGGUAACUGGGGCUAAGUCGUAACAAGGUAGCCGUACCGGAAGGUGCGGCUGGAAUACCUCCCUA
This is a non-coding RNA of Parastrongyloides trichosuri, 1924 nucleotides long. Lineage: Eukaryota; Metazoa; Nematoda; Chromadorea; Rhabditida; Strongyloididae. The record is from Rfam.